Molecule: ribosomal RNA, 467 nt
Filed under: uncultured bacterium
Lineage: Bacteria
Description: partial 16S ribosomal RNA
Rfam family: Bacterial small subunit ribosomal RNA
Source: RNAcentral
GACGAACGCUGGCGGCGUGCUUAACACAUGCAAGUCGAACGGAAAGGCCCUGCUUUUGUGGGGUGCUCGAGUGGCGAACGGGUGAGUAACACGUGAGUAACCUGCCCUUGACUUUGGGAUAAUUCAGGAAACUGGGGCUAAUACCGGAUAGGAGCUCCUGCUGCAUGGUGGGGGUUGGAAAGUUUCGGCGGUUGGGGAUGGACUCGCGGCUUAUCAGCUUGUUGGUGGGGUAGUGGCUUACCAAGGCUUUGACGGGUAGCCGGCCUGAGAGGGUGACCGGCAACAUUGGGACUGAGAUACGGCCCAGACUCCUACGGGAGGCAGCAGUGGGGAAUAUUGCACAAUGGGCGGAAGCCUGAUGCAGCAACGCCGCGUGCGGGAUGACGGCCUUCGGGUUGUAAACCGCUUUCGCCUGUGACGAAGCGUGAGUGACGGUAAUGGGUAAAGAAGCACCGGCUAACUACGUG